GGAGAUGUAGCUCAGUGGUAGAGUUCUUGCCUAAUAUGCAUGUGGUCCUGGGACCAACCUGCAACUCUG
RNAcentral lists this transfer RNA (69 nucleotides) under Mus musculus (house mouse). It matches the Rfam family "tRNA". Rfam says of the family: Transfer RNA (tRNA) molecules are approximately 80 nucleotides in length. The record is from Rfam by way of RNAcentral. Lineage: Eukaryota; Metazoa; Chordata; Mammalia; Rodentia; Muridae.